RNAcentral lists this ribosomal RNA (292 nucleotides) under uncultured Bacteroidota bacterium. RNAcentral's name for it is "uncultured Bacteroidetes bacterium partial 16S ribosomal RNA". It matches the Rfam family "Bacterial small subunit ribosomal RNA", at positions 505 to 796 of the family's 1533-position model. The record is from RNAcentral. Lineage: Bacteria; Pseudomonadati; Bacteroidota.
GUGUCAGCCGCCGCGGUAAUACGGAGGAUGCGAGCGUUAUCCGGAUUCACUGGGUUUAAAGGGUGAGUAGGCGGGUAGGUAAGUCAGUGGUGAAAGUCUGUCGCUUAACGAUAGGAUUGCCAUUGAUACUGCUUAUCUUGAGUUCAGUUGAGGCAGGCGGAAUGUGCAGUGUAGCGGUGAAAUGCUUAGAUAUUGCACAGAACACCGAUUGCGAAGGCAGCUUGCUAAACUGAUACUGACGCUGAGUCACGAAAGCGUGGGGAUCAAACAGGAUUAGAUACCCCCGUAGUCC